AACGAACGCUGGCGGCAUGCCUAACACAUGCCAGUCGAACGAGACCUUCGGGUCUAGUGGCGCACGGGUGCGUAACGCGUGGGAACCUGCCCUUAGGUUCGGAAUAACUCCCCGAAAGGGGUGCUAAUACCGGAUAAUGUCUUCGGACCAAAGAUUUAUCGCCUUUGGAUGGGCCCGCGUUGGAUUAGCUAGUUGGUAGGGUAAAAGCCUACCAAGGCGACGAUCCAUAGCUGGUCUGAGAGGAUGAUCAGCCACACUGGGACUGAGACACGGCCCAGACUCCUACGGGAGGCAGCAGUGGGGAAUAUUGGACAAUGGGCGAAAGCCUGAUCCAGCAAUGCCGCGUGAGUGAUGAAGGCCUUAGGGUUGUAAAGCCCUUUUACCCGGGAUGAUAAUGACAGUACCGGGAGAAUAAGCGCCGGCUAACUCCGUG
Molecule: ribosomal RNA, 433 nt
Filed under: uncultured bacterium
Lineage: Bacteria
Description: partial 16S ribosomal RNA
Rfam family: Bacterial small subunit ribosomal RNA
Source: RNAcentral